Molecule: ribosomal RNA, 468 nt
Filed under: uncultured bacterium
Lineage: Bacteria
Description: partial 16S ribosomal RNA
Rfam family: Bacterial small subunit ribosomal RNA
Source: RNAcentral
GACGAACGCUGGCGGCGUGCUUAACACAUGCAAGUCGAACGGAAAGGCCCUGCUUUUGUGGGGUGCUCGAGUGGCGAACGGGUGAGUAACACGUGAGUAACCUGCCCUUGACUUUGGGAUAACUUCAGGAAACUGGGGCUAAUACCGGAUAGGAGCUCCUGCUGCAUGGUGGGGGUUGGAAAGUUUCGGCGGUUGGGGAUGGACUCGCGGCUUAUCAGCUUGUUGGUGGGGUAGUGGCUUACCAAGGCUUUGACGGGUAGCCGGCCUGAGAGGGUGACCGGCCACAUUGGGACUGAGAUACGGCCCAGACUCCUACGGGAGGAAGCAGUGGGGAAUAUGGCAAAAUGGGCGGAAGCCUGAUGAAGCAACGCCGCGUGCGGGAUGACGGCCUUCGGGUUGUAAACCGCUUUCGCCUGUGACGAAGCGUGAGUGACGGUAAUGGGUAAAGAAGCACCGGCUAACUACGUG